Molecule: ribosomal RNA, 433 nt
Filed under: uncultured bacterium
Lineage: Bacteria
Description: partial 16S ribosomal RNA
Rfam family: Bacterial small subunit ribosomal RNA
Source: RNAcentral
AACGAACGCUGGCGGCAUGCCUAACACAUGCAAGUCGAACGAGACCUUCGGGUCUAGUGGCGCACGGGUGCGUAACGCGUGGGAACCUGCCCUUAGGUUCGGAAUAACUCCCUGAAAGGGGUGCUAAUACCGGAUAAUGUCUUCGGACCAAAGAUUUAUCGCCUUUGGAUGGGCCCGCGUUGGAUUAGCUAGUUGGUAGGGUAAAAGCCUACCAAGGCGACGAUCCAUAGCUGGUCUGAGAGGAUGAUAAGCCACACUGGGACUGAGACACGGCCCAGACUCGUACGGGAGGCAGCAGUGGGGAAUAUUGGACAAUGGGCGAAAGCCUGAUCCAGCAGUGCCGCGUGAGUGAUGAAGGCCUUAGUGUUGUAAAGCUCUUUUACCCGGGAUGAUAAUGACAGUACCGGGAGAAUAAGCUCCGGCUAACUCCGUG